Molecule: long non-coding RNA, 1544 nt
Organism: Dermacentor andersoni
Lineage: Eukaryota; Metazoa; Arthropoda; Arachnida; Ixodida; Ixodidae
Source: RefSeq, a predicted model, not a curated record
CAGAUUAUGUUUCAGACAACGCGUUUUGUAUUGAGUUCGAAAACGUGGAAGAAACCAGGCUCCAGGAUUGCGACCUACAAAAUCACUAAGACGUGGUUGCAGGAAUGCUUUCAGGGACUAUCCAUCCCUUGCGGUCCCGGACUGUGCUCUCAUUGACUGGCAGCACAGUGUCGACCAGUUGGGGUCUGUCAGGGAUGAAUAGUCGAAUGGCCCACUGGUGAUGUAGAAUUGAUGUUGGAUUGUGCUGCCAGGAAGCAUUUUGUUUGUGAAGCGCCUAAUAAAACACAGGCGCACACACACACACAGACCAUCGAGUUAAUAUAUCAAACUUUAAACGCACAUCUCCGCAUAACGCUCAUGCAUUGAAAUCGGUAACCCCAAAGGCGCCGCCAUUCUUCUACGCUGUGGGUGCAGCGCGCAGCUGGGGUGGCUAGAUUGGGGUGUUGUGAAGACUGGCCGCUGGAGGCGGGCCCCAAAAACGCGUUCCUGUCACGUGACGGCGCUGCCGGCACGGGCCCCGUUUAGGGCGCCGCGACAAUCCGUGACCUGUACCAAAAAAAAAAAAAAAAAAAUGGCCGACGGCGCAGUGUAAAUCGCGUCAAAAAAUCCUCGUGUCGAUGUCAAAUUUCUCAGCAAGCUUCCUUUAGACAAGGUAAAUUAAUGGCCUUUAAAAGAAAACUUGUUACCUUUCGGUGCGGGUGGGAAUCGAACCCGGGCCUCCGGGUGCGGGGUGACCGAGCACACUUCUUUGACGCCACCUGCAGCUUCCCCGAUUCCGGCUGACCGGAAUCGGGGGAGCUGAUUCCGGUUGGCUGAUUCCGGUCAGCUGAUUCCGAUAUGCCUAUCGAGCGUGCGUCAUUGCACACGUAACGUCGCAGCCAUCUGGCUGACGACACGUGUGGCUUAGUGCGUGCGUCAUUGGUCACGUGACAACGCCAGUUAAUGGGGAGGAGGUGGCGCCACGUGAUGACUGUAUAAUAUCAGCGUGUUGAUGACGAGCCGAAGUCUAUACAAACAGUGUAAUGCUUUCUCAUUCCCACGCGUAAGCAGUCUUUACCGAAUGCACAGUCACAGCCGUACGCCUCCGCUAUGCUAAAACUUUGGGGUGGUUGUUGGGUAUACAGCGUCCCACUGCUGAUCGUCAUGACAAUAAACGCCUCGCAGGGGCUCCAGCGACAAGAAAAUCUACGCGGUCAUCGGCCUGUGUCUACUGCUGUCGGCUGUAAUCGGCGGUAUCAUUCUCGCCACGUCUGGGUCGUCACCCCACGACGCAACCGAUGAAGGUGGCGACUCUGGUAGUGGCGGCGGCGACGGCGGCAGCAGCGAUUCUCCGUCCUCUUCCUUUUCGUCGAGUUCUCCACCCUCGCCACCACGGACUACUAAGCCAACUACUGAGCCGACAACCAAGCCCGCGCCGAUGCCUGAGCCUACGAUGACGCCUACGGUGACGCCUACGAUGACGCCUACGAUGACGCCUACGAUGACCCCUGCGAUGACGCCUGCGAUGACGCCUGCGAUGACGCGUAACACGACCGCGCUGGAGC